This 609-nucleotide unclassified non-coding RNA is filed under the name Hevea brasiliensis (rubber tree). Lineage: Eukaryota; Viridiplantae; Streptophyta; Magnoliopsida; Malpighiales; Euphorbiaceae. The record is from RNAcentral.
AGAGGGCGUGGAAGGGGACGCGGCAGGGGUGGUUAUGGAAACUACUAUCAAGAUGAUGGUGGAUACUAUAACCCAGGUCGAGGUGGUGGAUUAGCCGAUGAUGGUACAUUUUAUAACCCAAGUCGAGGUGGCGGAUUUGCAGAUAAUGAUGGAUAUUAUAAUCAAGGUCGAGGCGGUGGGUUUGCAGAUAAUGGUGGAUAUUAUCAACAAGGUCAAGGUGGUGGGUUUGCAGAUAAUGGUGGAUAUUAUCAACAAGGUCAAGGUGGUGGUCGAGGCAGAGGUUGGGGAUACCGUGGCACGGGAUACGGAAGGGGCCGAGGCGGAGGCUGGGGUGGUGGCAGAGGUUAUAGUCGUGGACGAGGCCGGAUGGGUGGUCGAGGAGGAAGGGGUGGUGGAAACCAGUAUAGGCAAGAAGAAUUUGCUGUCAAAGCUUGAUAGGAAAAAAUAUUGCACAACCCUUUGGCAUGGUGUGAAACUUUUUUGAGUGAAUUUUCAUGCAGUUUUGUUUGAUGUUAUUUGGCUAAAGGUUCUGUUACUUUGGUUGGUUCUUGUUUUUUCAUAUGAUUCAUUUAUUUUGAUGUCUGUCAUGUAAUAAGUUUUCAUUUUUUU